ACGCGCGGAACCUUACCAGGUCUUGACAUCCUCUGACCACCCUAGAGAUAGGGAUUUCCCUUCGGGGACAGAGUGACAGGUGGUGCAUGGUUGUCGUCAGCUCGUGUCGUGAGAUGUUGGGUUAAGUCCCGCAACGAGCGCAACCCUUGAUCUUAGUUGCCAGCAUUCAGUUGGGCACUCUAAGGUGACUGCCGGUGACAAACCGGAGGAAGGUGGGGAUGACGUCAAAUCAUCAUGCCCCUUAUGACCUGGGCUACACACGUGCUACAAUGGAUGGUACAAAGGGCAGCGAAGCCGCGAGGUGAAGCCAAUCCCAUAAAACCAUUCUCAGUUCGGAUUGUAGGCUGCAACUCGCCUACAUGAAGCUGGAAUCGCUAGUAAUCGCGGAUCAGCAUGCCGCGGUGAAUACGUUCCCGGGCCUUGCACUCACCGCCCGU
RNAcentral lists this ribosomal RNA (437 nucleotides) under uncultured bacterium. RNAcentral describes it as "bacterial SSU rRNA". It matches the Rfam family "Bacterial small subunit ribosomal RNA", at positions 959 to 1397 of the family's 1533-position model. The record is from RNAcentral.